RNAcentral lists this ribosomal RNA (482 nucleotides) under uncultured bacterium. RNAcentral's name for it is "partial 16S ribosomal RNA". It matches the Rfam family "Bacterial small subunit ribosomal RNA", at positions 30 to 507 of the family's 1533-position model. The record is from RNAcentral.
AUUGAACGCUGGCGGCAUGCCUUACACAUGCAAGUCGAACGGUAACGGGCCUUCGGGUGCCGACGAGUGGCGAACGGGUGAGUAAUACAUCGGAACGUGCCCGAUCGUGGGGGAUAACGAGGCGAAAGCUUUGCUAAUACCGCAUACGAUCUACGGAUGACAGCAGGGGACCGCAAGGCCUUGCGCGGACGGAGCGGCCGAUGGCAGAUUAGGUAGUUGGUGGGAUAAAAGCUUACCAAGCCGACGAUCUGUAGCUGGUCUGAGAGGAUGAUCAGCCACACUGGGACUGAGACACGGCCCAGACUCCUACGGGAGGCAGCAGUGGGGAAUUUUGGACAAUGGGCGCAAGCCUGAUCCAGCCAUGCCGCGUGCAGGAUGAAGGCCUUCGGGUUGUAAACUGCUUUUGUACGGAACGAAAAGCCUUCUUUUAAUACAGGAGGGUCAUGACGGUACCGGAAGAAUAAGCACCGGCUAACUACGUG